Long non-coding RNA from Cavia porcellus (domestic guinea pig), 6327 nucleotides. RefSeq lists it as uncharacterized. NCBI's taxonomy places the organism in Eukaryota, Metazoa, Chordata, Mammalia, Rodentia, Caviidae. The transcript has 4 exons. The record is from RefSeq and is a predicted model, not a curated record.
CGCAUCGGACGUGCGUGCGACAAAGUUUGGGAAGAAAGAUUGAACUGGUCCUCCUGCUUGAGCGCCCUCCAGUUCUCCUCCCGGAGGAAAAUCCAAAGGGAUCGAACUCACAACUGCCUGCUUGUAAGGCAGGCACUUAUGCCGCUGAGCUAAAUCCCCAGCCCCUGGUUCUUGUGGCAGAUGGUUUGAAGUGUCCACAUCCCACCACUUCAAGCUCAACCACUGGCUGAAAAAGUUACAGCAGGCUUUAGGGACUGGUUGCUGGUUUCCCAUCCCAUCUGCAUAGCUUCAAGCAAGUGAUUGAACUUCUCUGUGCCCCAGUUCUGGAAUAUGAUGAUGCUGAUGAUUUUUUUUUUUUGAUGCUGAUGAUUCUACCAAGAAAAAACAUGCAAGUUUUGAGUCCUGAGUGAUGUUUACUUCUAGUGUAAACAUGCAAAAUCUGGCCUUAAGUGAAACUAAGAACUUAUAGAUAAAAUGAGAACACUGCAGAGUUAGGAAUGUAGCUCAAUGGUAAGAUGCUUGUUUGGCAUGCACAAGGCCCAGAGCUCCAUCUCCAGCACCACACACACACACACACACACACACACACACACACUAAAAUAACAAUAACAACAACAAAUGAAGAUGGAGAUAGGCUUGAUGGCACACACUUUGGGAGCUAAGGCAGGUGGAUUACAAGUUUGAGAGCAGCCUGGAAAACUUAGUAAGAUCAUAUCUCAAAUUUUAGAAAAGGAGGGGUGUGGUUAUAGCUGUCAUUCAGUGUGAACCCUCUGGAUUCAAACCCUAAUAUGGUAGAUAGAGAGGGACAGAGUGUGUGGGGCCAGAAGGUGAUGGUGCUUGUGAUGGGUUUUGCUCAUAUGGGACUCUGCCAGACUUAACGUGGCACCUGCCCAACAUGGCACUGAGUCCUAAAAUAACAACACACCCUUCCAAUACUAACUUCCCUGUUCUUUUUCCAAGCCACAAAUAAACUUCCUACUCUUCUCUUGCACAGGCGCCAAAGCUCCUCCAAUUCUAUCUGGACACCAUGAUCCAGUCUCUACCCCAGCCCAACUCCAUAAAAGCCAUUCCCCAGCCUUUCCUGUUAGAAGGUCCUUGCAAUCUCAUACAGCCCUCCCAUGUCGGGAACCAUUGAAGCUGGAAAUUGACCAGGUUUGUGUGCAAGGCCAGGGCAUGGCCGACCUGAGAACAAGGAGACUCCUUAAAGGGCAAGAUAGGCCACACCUGAGGACACCUAGUUCCAGCCCCAAUUAACAAGACAGAGAAUGCAUCUUCAGGCAUUUCUCUCCUGUAGUGAAAGUCAAACUGAUUUUAGGAGAAAGAGACUUUCUCCUAAAAUACUUCUCCUAAAUUAACACAACAUAGUUCUCCUAAAUGAACAUAAUCUAUUACUUGGAAAAAUUCUUAAAACCACACCAAGAUCCUGCUCAGUUUCUUGCAUUUUUCCACUCUAAUCCCUUCCUUGUUUGAAAAACUAAAUAAAUAUGGGCUGCCCAAAGACAUUCCUUGUCUUAGCCCCCAGAGUCUUGACUCUGUUAGAGGAUUUGAUCCUGCUGGAAUCCUAAAAUCAUACUACUUGUCUCACUUAUUUAAGCCUUCACCGUGUACUCAUUUGGGAGAUUGGAGAUCUUGGCCCAGUCCCCAAUACUCUCCCACUGACAGUGAAGGCUUUUUCUUAUCUCUGUAUAUCUUAACUGUAUCAAAAAACCUAACAGCUUGUAGCUCAAAUUAUUGUGUAGAACUCAUCAAUUCUGAUUGGAUAACACUUGCAUUCUUUUUAUUGAAAGACAAAGAGAUUGCUGUCUUUGUUUAAUAACAUACAAGUUUUGAAAAACUUGCCUAGCCUGCCCUGGGUUCCAUCCUUAGCAUGUAAAAAUAAUAAGAUGGUAGUUUAUCAAAAAAUAUCAAGGUUUAGAGCUAAUAUUUCUGGGCUCCCUGGAACUUCCAUAUUCAUGAGCUAUCUCAGAAUGUGAGCUUCUAUUAAAUAUAAGCUUUUUUCUGUUUGAAUUGCAAACAUAUUCUGGGCUGACAAGGUUAACAAAUCAAUGUCAGAGUUGUCUUAGUAACUACUUCAUUGGAUUGCUGGGAGGAAUAAAUUAUAAUAUGAAUCACAAUAGAAUAAUUUCUUUCUUCUUUUGAGAGAGUCUUCCUAUGUAGUUUAGGCUAGCUUUGAACUUACUCUAUAUUACAGGCAGUCUUUCAAACUCUUGGUGAGCCUCCUGCCUCAGCCUCCUAAGUACUGGAAUUACAGACAUGGGUCACUAUGGCUAGAACAAUACUUUUUAAAAACUUCCUCUGUGUGUGUGUGUGUGCUACUGAAGUGAGCCCUGUUUUUUCUUUCUUUGGGUGUUUUUGUUGUUUUUGGUUUUUUGAGACAGAAUCUUCGUAUGUAGUGCAGGCUGACCUUGAAUUCACUUAUGUAGUCCAGCCUGGCCUCGAGCCCCACAGCAAUCCUCCUGCCUGAGUCUCCUGAGUGCUGAGAUUACAGGUGUGCAUCACCACACCCAGCCUAAUAGAACGGUUUUUGACCCAUGGUAAGUAAUCAAUAAGUAAUUAUCUAUCUUUGUUAUUUCGAUAAGCACCAUCAUCAAAGCCUCAGAAAUCUCGCUUUAAAUUGUCACCCUGCCACUGGUGUGAGUUUGGACCUGUGAGCCUCAUAGAGUAUGGGGUAGGGGGAGCAUGCAAAAUGGAAAUUGAUGCCAGCUUCUUCCGACUGUAAUGAAGAUGAACAGAAUUAAAGAUGGAAAAGGGGUUGUUUUAAGAAGUAUAAGAGAUUAUUAAUUGAUUUGACAAAAUUAUUUGAUUUAAUUUGGUUAUGACUGAAUUUUUUCCUGAGAAAAUCAAGUGCAGAAUAGCUUAAUUAACUUCAGUUUAGCUAUUUUUAGUACAUUUUUAUUUAACUUUCCAAAUGUCAACAAUAUUGUGCUUCUGUACCACACAUGAACUGCUCCUGCAUACAAGUUUUCAACUUUCUUAAAAGGCAGGCACAAAACCCAAGAGUAAUUGUGUGAAUUCCAUGUGAUGUUGAUUCCUCUCAACAUCACAUGGAAUUGAUGGCGCAAUAGAGAAGCAAAAGUACAAAAUUAACAGUUUUACUGAAUUGAGCACGUGGAAAGGAGCACAUGACCCAUGGGGGCCGGGCUGUCUCCGAUCAGAUACAGAGAGGCAGAGGGUUAUAUGACUUCUCUGAUUGAAGUGGCGCAUGAGGCAGAUAAUGAUGAUGGAUGAGGAAACGAUUUUCAGUACUGGAAAACAAGCUCUUUUCAUUUUAUUUUGGACCAGCGUCUGAAUUAAGUUGCCCAGGCUGCCCUCAAUUUACGGUCCUCCUGACAUAGGAGAUUAGGGCGUGGCAAAGCUAGGAAAGUAGGUAUGACGUGCUAAUUACAAGAUCCCAAAACAUGGAGGUAGAACAGUUCCCAAAGCCCUGCACGUGGACUUCUGGGAACCGGAGCGGGUUUUUAAUGGGAUGGCCUAGACCCGACAUCAGGCUGAGGGGUGGGAUCCCAAUGCUGCCUCUCCGGACCUGUAUGUAGAGCUUCUAGAAGGUCUCCUCAGGAUUUGGACAGUAUAAAAGGACACAGACACCAAGAAGAACUUGUCAUUGUGACUCUCCUUGUGAUAGCCUGCCGUGUCCUCCGGGGUGUAUUCUUAUCUUGCUUUUCCCUCUUUAUUCUGCCCAGCUCAUAGUGCAGAGCCAGUUUCUCACUCUUCACUUUUACCUUUUCAAGUAAACAUUGCCACUGCCUGUUGUUCGUUUAGUUCAGUUCUACAUGAAGAUGAGAAGAAUUUGGAAUCUACCUCCAGAAAAAGAGGUGACAAAUCCAGAACGUGCCAAGUUUUAUUUGGUGAGCCACUUUCAGAAGGAGUUACUUGCUAACACUCCUGUCUCAGCCUUUCAAGUAUCUGGCAUUGUCACCAGGAGGGGGUUCCAUUGUUCCUAGGUGGAGGGCGAAAGAGUUUUCGAAAAGAGGACAUGGAGGCUUCAAUUUAUGCUAAAAAAACAUUUCUCGAUGUGUCAAUAUUCUUUGUUUGUUUGUUUGUUUUUUGUCUUUUUCCUUUUUAUCGGUACCGGGGAUCGAACUCACGACUGCCUGCUUGCAAGGCAGGCGCUUAUGCCGCUGAGCUAAAUCCCCAGCCCAGGAUGUGUCAAUAUUCUUUUUUUUUUUUUUUUUUUUUGUCUUUUUUUUGUCUUUUUGAGACAGGGUCUCUCUACACAGUUCAGGCUGGCCUUGAGCUCACUUUGUAGCCUAGGCUGGUCUUGAACUCACAACAAUCCUCCUGCCUCAGCCUCCUGAGUGCUGGGAUUACAGGCGUGAGCCACCAACGCCCGGCUAGGGUGUGUCAGUGUAAGGCAUAGGCAGGUUUAUUAGGUAGAGUUCAAAUGUAAGAGAAAAUGGAGAAAAACUUCAGCCUGAGGAGCUGACAAGGUAUGGUAUGGCUCUGAUGAAAAGGGUCAGACGGGCCUCUUAGCAGAAGAAGGAGACCAGUUUUUACAGAGUUGAGGGGUUGACUAGAGCCUAGCUGAUCAUUAUCUCAGUUCUGUUUUUCCAGAUGACUUGGAAGAAGUCUUUAUUGCUUGAGGGACAAUUCAAUCUCAUGAGAUAAUUAUUUCUGUUCGAGGCAGUCUCAGACAGGUGUAGGCACUGAUGGAAUUCAGAACGACCCUAGGUUUAGGGCACUGACUGUAGACUUCUCUCGGUGCUCAAUGGUAGGUGAAUGUCCCUAUAAAUCUCUUGGUGUCCUCAGUCUUGUAAGGGGAAUGAGAUAGGUUAUGUAAUCUCAGGGAUAAUCAACCUGGUUUUGCCAUCCCUAAAUGAUUAACAUGCCUAUGUGCAGAGAAGUUAUGUUACUCCAAGUUUUCAGGUCAUAGACAAUCCUGAAUGAAUGUUGAGAUUUAUUCUGUUUUUAGUUUGUUAUUGAGACUUUGUAGACCCGGUAGGGACAGGUGGUCACAGGCAGGAAAAAGGAUGAAAUAAAAUCUCAUUAAGCUUGAUUAAAGAAGUUAACAGGAACCCUACUAACGGAAAUUUUGCCCUGUAGCUAUACUUCAGCAAUUAGAAAGAAGUGUAAAGACAAAGAAACCAGGCUCCUGAAGGCACCAGGUAAUACAAUUCACAUAAGAAUUUAGAGUAAACAGGCUAAACAGGGAUAUAGCCAGAAACAUGAAAGGCCUGGAUAACCACCCCCUUCCCUCAAUAAAAUGCAAAGGAGAUAAGGAACCUUGUUUAACAUAUAAAACACACAUUUUCCCUUUACUUAAUCAUUAAUUCUAAGUUACCUUUUUAUAAGGCUCCGUCAUACACUUAUCCAUCACAAAGUGACAGUGAGAAAUCAAAUAGCCAUAAAGAAUAUAGAUAGAUUUUUAAUUUUUUAAAAAAACUUCAACACCUCAGAACUUGUGUCUGUUUUAAAACUAUUGUUUGAGGGGCUGGGGAUUUAGCUCAGCAGCAUAAGCACCUGCCUUGCAAGCAGGCGGUUGUGAGUUCGAUCCCUGGUACCAAUAAAAAGGAAAAAGACAAAAAAACAAAAAACUAUUGUUUGAGAGACAGACACCAGCUUCUCCCUGUGAGUCAGAGCCAUUUGCAGAUCAGGAAAAGACAGAAUAAAGCCAUACCAGCAAGCAAGCCCAGUCUGGGAAUCUGCGCCAUGCAUGGGCCACCACUGGACUGGAACAGACAGACCCCAUUCCCUUCUGGUGUACGGGCUGGCAAACAAGAAGUACCAACACCCGCUACUCCCCGGCCAUAAGCGGUAGGCUUAUCUGGAGAAACACACGCUGUGAUGAUAGCUAUAGAGGUGAAAUGCAAUUGGAUGUCUGUGGUGCUUUGGUGUUUCACUGACAUUGCAGGUCAAGGGCCAGUGGUUUGAUCACAUGUUUAGAGGAUAGCAAUGCGCAGUGUGACAUCUAGGGGGGGAUCCCCUUCUGAGGGUUGCAGCCAUUGUUGAUUACCUAUGGUCUUGUUUUGGAAGUCCUAUAUCAUUUCCAUUGUUUUUUGGGUAGAUUUUAUUCUUUUUUUUGAGUAUGUCAAAUUGGAUGGCAGGGGCUGCUAUUUCAAAGAUAACAAGAUAUAUUAAGGUACAAUUUUAGAUUUACUGUAGGCUUGCUUUGAAGUCUUUAUUGCAUACAUUGUUUUGCUUUUAUUAUUUCUAUUCUGUUCUGUUUGAUUUUUACUAUGUCCAAAGUUAUCUGCAGCUAUUUUGAAGGCAUCAAAAGGUAUUAUGGUAACUAGUUGAUUUUGUAAUGUUUGAAAGUCCUCUGUCUCUUAUACUGGUUUGUUUUGGUUUUAUUCUGUUUUAUCCUCUUUAAAAUAAAAAUUAAAAAUACUA